AUACGGGGGGUGCAAGCGUUAAUCGGAAUUACUGGGCGUAAAGCGCGCGUAGGCGGUUUGCUCAGUCGGAUGUGAAAGCCCAGGGCUCAACCUUGGAACUGCAUACGAUACUGGCAAACUAGAGUGUGAGAGAGGAUAGUGGAAUUUCCGGUGUAGCGGUUAAAUGCGUAGAUAUCGGAAGGAACAUCAGUGGCGAAGGCGACUGUCUGGCUCAACACUGACGCUGAGGUGCGAAAGCGUGGGUAGCAAACAGAAUUAGAUACCCUAGUAGUCC
RNAcentral lists this ribosomal RNA (274 nucleotides) under uncultured bacterium. RNAcentral describes it as "partial 16S ribosomal RNA". It matches the Rfam family "Bacterial small subunit ribosomal RNA", at positions 523 to 796 of the family's 1533-position model. The record is from RNAcentral.